RNAcentral lists this ribosomal RNA (1931 nucleotides) under Sainouron acronematica. Its description in RNAcentral is "SSU rRNA". It matches the Rfam family "Eukaryotic small subunit ribosomal RNA". The record is from RNAcentral. Lineage: Eukaryota; Cercozoa; Sainouridae.
AACCUGGUUGAUCCUGCCAGUAGUAUAUGCUUGUCUCAAAGAUUAAGCCAUGCAUGUCCAAGUAUAAACAACUUUAUACAGCGAAACUGCGUACAGCUCAUUACAUCAGUUAUAAUUCCUUUGAAGGUUAACAAAUUACAUGGGAUACCUAUGGUAACUCCAGAGCUAAUACAUGCGUCAAGUCUUGACUAGGGUUACACCUGGGAGAGAUGUAUUUAUUAGAUUCCAGCCUACUCGUUUGCGGGGCAACUCGUAAGCGUUUUGGUGAUUCAUGGUAACUGUUUCGGAUCAAUGUCGCAAGACAUUCGAUAGUUCAUUCAAAUUUCUGCCCUAUCAGCUUUGGAUGGUAGUGUAGUGGACUACCAUGGCAUUUACGGGUAACGGGGAAUUAAGGGUUCGGUUCCGGAGAGGCAGCCUGAGAAACGGCUACCACAUCCAAGGAAGGCAGCAGGCGCGCAAAUUACCCACUCUUGACACAAGGAGGUAGUGACAAGAAAUGCUGAUGCCAGACGCCUUUGUGUGUUUGGUAAUCGGAAUGAGAGGCAGUUAAAUCUAGUACUCGAAAGCAACUGGAGGGCAAGUCUGGUGUCUGCAGUACGGUAAUUCCAGCUCCAGUAGCGUAUAUUAAAAUUGUUGCAGUUAAAAAGCUCGUAGUUGGAUUUUUGUUGUGGUUUUCGUGCUGGCUCCAUGGGUGGACUUGUGCCAUUCAUGUGAGCUGGUACACACGACAUUUGGAGGUAAGCGCGUAAAGGUGAAAACUUAAUACGCAGCUUCCCCACAUACUUUGAGAAAAUUAAAGUGUUCCAAGCAGGCUCUUUUAGAGUUGCCAUGAAUACUACAGCAUGGAAUAAAACCAUCGGAUCUUUGUUCCGUUGGUGGGCUCGUUGAACAAAGUCAUGAUCGAUAUUGGACGAUGGGGGUGCUUGUAUUCCUGGAGCAGAGGUGAAAUUCUUGGACCCCAGGAAGACAAACAACAGCGAAAGCAUUCACCAAAUAGUCCCAAAUUAAUCAAGAACGAAAGUUGAGGGAUCGAAGACAAUCAGAUACUGUCGUAGUCUCAACCAUAAACGUUUGUAUUUUGGGGUGAGUGGAGAUCUGUUCUGUUUGGACAAGUACUUCGCAAGAAGCAACUGUCUGGCAGUAUUGGAGUCACUCGAACCAUGUGGAAAACCAAAAAUACGUCCGGGGGGAAUAUUAUCGCAAGAUAGAAACUUAAAGGCAUUGACGGAAGGAAACACCAGGAGUGGAGCCUGCGGCUUAAAUUGACUCAACACGAGAAAUCUCACCAGGCCCGGACAUAUUGAGGAUUGACAGCCUUGAAGCGCUUUCUUGAUUAUUGUGGAAGUGGUGCAUGGCCGCUCUUGGCUGGUGGUGUGGAUUGUCUGGUUAAUUCCGUUAACGAGCGAGACGUUGUGGGUGCUCCCGAAUGGGAGUGUUUGAUAAAUAGAUGGUUGCGCUUCCCUUGUGGUGCGUAUCUGGUCAUCUUCUUAGCCCGACAAUUGCUGUGUAAGCAAUGGAAGUUCAACGCAAUAGCAGGUCCGUGAUGCCCUUAGAUGUUCUGGGCCGCACGCGCGCUACACUGUUUGUACUAGCGUGUUUUACAGCUUGUUGGAUCUUCAUCGGUCCCAACAUGACCUUGGUCGAGAGACCUGGGAAAUCAUUCAAAUACAGACGUGCUAGGGAUUGUCGAUUGCAAUUAUUCGUCAUAAACGAGGAAUUCCUUGUAAGCGCACGUCAUCAGCGUGCAUUGACGUACGUCCCUUUCCUUUGUACACACCGCCCGUCGCUGCUACCGAUUGGAUGUUUUAGUGAGUUGUGGGGAGGUGUGUUGUGCCUUAACCGGUGCAAUGUGCCAAACCACACCAAACUUGAGGAUCUAGAGGAAGCAAAAGUCGUAACAAGGUUUCCGUAGGUGAACCUGCAGGAUGAUC